UUUGAAAGCCUGCUGUGAAGAGUAAAUCCCAAGGACACAUUUGACUUCCUAGGAAUAUAAAAGCUUGGAUCAGUAAAAUAACACUGCGAACAAAGUCAAAAGACCAUCCCCAAAAUGAGGGGAAUAGGGCAAGUAAGUGGAGCAGUUCCACCCUGAGAAUCCCUGGAGUAGAUUUUAAAAUGGUGCAUUCUUCGUUUCAAACACAGAAGCCUUUCCUGGGUAACUUUGCAAGCCACAGUGCUUGGCUGGAAACGUGACAGGCCAAAUUGCAACCAGAAUUCUGCAAUUAUAAACAGAACCAUUUUUAUUUCGGAGAAAAAAAAAACGGCGACAGAGAAAGGAAACUAAAAGAAAAAGAGGAAAUGAAUCAGUUUCGAAGCAUGAGACCUCAAGCGCACAAACAAGCAGGGGAGUGGAGGCUAUCAGCUGGAUAGGUGAAAAUAGUGGAACUGAUUGGAGAGAGAUAAUUUUGUGCUGAGAGCAAUUGAACCUGAGAUUCUGCCCGGUGUUAAGCUGCUGGAGAAGCCAGACUCACAGAGUCCUCAGAGGCAAGGAUUCGAAUCAUGCCUCCACCAUGACAUAGCCCUGCAGCCUUGCACAGACUACUUAAUCCUAAUUUCCUGUAUCUUAAAGAAGGAAUAACAGCAGCACUUACCUCACUGGGCAGCUUCAUGUGCUGAGAUCAUGCACAUAGUGUACAUAAACCUCUUAGUACAUAACAUGUGCUCAGUAGUCCCUGGGAUUAUCAUUGUCAUUCUCAUAUAGGAAGUACUGUGAAAAUGCUUGUCCUAUAAAGAAUAUUUGCUGGAGUUUGCUCCUAGUUCUAAUUUCUUUUUUUUUUUUUUUUUUUUUGAGACAGUCUUGCUCUGUCACCCAGGCUGGAGUGCCAGUGGCACAAUUGAUCUCAGCUCUUUGCAACCUCCACCACCCAGGUUCAAGUGAUUCUCCUGCCUCAGCCUCCCGAGUAGCUGGGAUUACAGGUGUGGCCACUGUGCCUCCUCCCCCCUCUACUUUUUUUUUUUAAAUCUUUGCUGCUAAAUAAAUUAACCCAUUAAAAAAACAGUUGGGGAACAAAAACACCUGCAAAAAUAUGAAUUAAAGAAUGCCAGGGGAGGGGAGUUGUUCUUUUUUCUUCUCCUGUACUUUAGAAUGUUUGGCUUCUUUAUUUAUGUGGCAGGACUGUAUCCUCAGCAACUUAGCGGCAUGGCCGAUAUCAGUCAGCCGCCUUGGAGGGUGAUAAAGAGCUGCUGGCAGAAGAUAGGGUGAAAAGAGCACAAUAGAAACGUAUGUAGAUGCCCAGUGCACACAGAUGCUUUUGUGUCUCUCUUGUUUUCAGCAGAGUACAAAAUAAUGACAUAUAUCAGAGUUUGCAAACUGCACCCAGCCACCUAGUAUUUUUUUUUUUUAACUAUCUUGAAACAAUUCUAAAUCUACAGGAAGUUGCAAAAAUAUUACAGAGAGCUCUGUACCCUUCACCCAGCUCACCUUCUCCACAAUGGUUGGAUAUUAAGCAACUAUCAGCUAUCACACUUUUUUUUUUUUUUUUGAAACGGAGUCUUGCUCUGUCACCCAGGCUGGAGUGCAAUGGUACGAUCUCGGAUUACUGCAGCCUCCAUCUACCUCCUAGGUUCAAGUGAUUCUUGUGCCUCAGCCUCCAAAGUAGCUGGGAUUACAGGUGUGUGCCUCUACACCUGGCUAAUUUUUGUAUUGUUCAUAGAGAUGGGGUUUCAACAUGUUGGCCAGGCUGGUCUCCAACUCUUGACCUCAAGUGAUCUGCCUGCCUUGGACUCCCAAAAUGCUGGGAUUACAGACGUGAGCCACCGCGUGUGGCCAGCUAUUGCUUUUUGAAGAUGGUUGUGCUGGGAACAAUAUACUAGAAUUAUUUGCUGCAAAAUGCUGCAAAACCCCUGCAGGCUCACCCCACCCAAACCGCUGACUUUGAAAAGAAUCUGAAUUCAUAGUUCCCCAGGCAACCUUCCGAAAUCUACACAUGCAGACCCUUUCCUCUGAUUUGGUUGAUCCGGUUUACUCUUUUCCCUUAGGGGAUUUCUGUCACCCACCGCGGAUGCCACUGUCCACUGUGAUGAGGAGAAAGGGGAAACUUGAAAGCGGGGCAGCUUCAGUCCCUGCCAUGAUGACACCGAGGGGUUGCAGUGGAGGAGGAGUCUAGACUAUAUUCCUGGUUUCAUCCAACUCAUGUUCAUCAGUGGCCACCUGGGGAAGAGAGCCCAGUCCAAAGGGAGAGAGAUGGGCUGUGCCAUCGUGUCAGUAAGAGAGGUGAAGUGACUGAUGAAAGGUGAAAGACAUACACUAAUGAGAGUGAUCCCCUCUGAGACGCAUACCAGUACGUGAGGAGUCCUGAAACGGACGGAGUUUUAGUCACAAGUGGUGGCACACACCUGAAGUCCCAGCUACUCAGGAAGCUGAGGUGGGAGAUCACUUGAGCAUAGGAGUUUAAAGCUGUAGUGAGCUAGGAUCACACCACUGCACUCCAGCCUGUGGGACAGAGCAGUAUCCUGACCUAUUUAAAAAAUAAUAAAUAGGUGUGGUGGUUCACACCUGUAAUCCCAGCACUUUGGUAUCACCUGAGGUUUUCGAUAAGCCUAGAUCGCACCAUUGCAUUCCAGCCUGGGCAACAAAAGCGAAAGUCCUUCUCAAAAUAAUAAUAAUAAUAAUAAUAUAAUAAAUUAAUUAAUUUUAAAAAUCCCAAUUUGAGUCAGAAAAUACAGAAUAAUCUCAAAAGAAAAUAAGUCCCAGCUAACCGUACCAUCCUGUAGUAAAAUAAAACAAAAGUUGUUGCUCUCUUUUUUUGUCUAUAAAAAGAUGUAUGUUAUAAGAAAACUGUUAAGAAAUUUCA
This is a long non-coding RNA of Callithrix jacchus (white-tufted-ear marmoset), 2857 nucleotides long. RefSeq lists it as uncharacterized. NCBI's taxonomy places the organism in Eukaryota, Metazoa, Chordata, Mammalia, Primates, Cebidae. The record is from RefSeq and is a predicted model, not a curated record.